ACAACAGGUUGAUAUUCCUGUACUACCGAUAACCGUUUGAGAGAAGGGAUGACACAGUAGGAUAAGCUAAGCACACUGUUGGUUAUGUGUGCCCAAGCAUUGAGGCAGUCAAAGUAGGUAAAUCCGCGUUGAUAAUGCUGGGAUGUGAUGGGGAGCGAAAUUUAGUAGCGAAGUAGCUGAUUUCACACUGUCAAGAAAAGUCUCUAUCGAGGUUAAAGGUACCCGUACCGCAAACCGACACAGGUG
Molecule: ribosomal RNA, 246 nt
Filed under: Clostridioides difficile
Lineage: Bacteria; Bacillati; Bacillota; Clostridia; Peptostreptococcales; Peptostreptococcaceae
Description: partial 23S ribosomal RNA
Rfam family: Bacterial large subunit ribosomal RNA
Source: RNAcentral